AAACAUGCAGUCGAGCGGUAACAGAGAGUAGCUUGCUACUUUGCUGACGAGCGGCGGACGGGUGAGUAAUGCUUGGGAAUAUGCCUUAAGGUGGGGGACAACAGUUGGAAACGACUGCUAAUACCGCAUAACGUCUACGGACCAAAGAGGGGGAUCUUCGGACCUCUUGCCUUUUGAUUAGCCCAAGUGAGAUUAGCUAGUUGGUAAGGUAAUGGCUUACCAAGGCGACGAUCUCUAGCUGGUUUGAGAGGAUGAUCAGCCACACUGGGACUGAGACACGGCCCAGACUCCUACGGGAGGCAGCAGUGGGGAAUAUUGCACAAUGGGCGAAAGCCUGAUGCAGCCAUGCCGCGUGUGUGAAGAAGGCCUUCGGGUUGUAAAGCACUUUCAGUUGUGAGGAAAGGUUUGUAGUUAAUAGCUGCAAACUGUGACGUUAGCAACAGAAGAAGCACCGGCUAACUUCGUGCCAGCAGCCGCGGUAAUACGAGGGGUGCAAGCGUUAAUCGGAAUUACUGGGCGUAAAGCGUGCGUAGGUGGUUUGUUAAGCAAGAUGUGAAAGCCCCGGGCUCAACCUGGGAACUGCAUUUUGAACUGGCAAACUAGAGUAUUGUAGAGGGUAGUGGAAUUUCCAGUGUAGCGGUGAAAUGCGUAGAGAUUGGAAGGAACAUCAGUGGCGAAAGCGGCUA
RNAcentral lists this ribosomal RNA (686 nucleotides) under Colwellia sp. Norgb20. RNAcentral's name for it is "bacterial SSU rRNA". It matches the Rfam family "Bacterial small subunit ribosomal RNA", at positions 51 to 727 of the family's 1533-position model. Lineage: Bacteria; Pseudomonadati; Pseudomonadota; Gammaproteobacteria; Alteromonadales; Colwelliaceae. The record is from RNAcentral.